GCAAUGCGAUUUACUUAUCAGAUCGCGACUGCUCGAUUCAGCGCCGCCAUCAAAAAGUGGUCGAAGAAGCGCCAGCACCGGGGUUAAGCGAUGCAUUGCGCGCCCAAAUGG
This 111-nucleotide ribosomal RNA is filed under the name Shewanella putrefaciens. The record is from RNAcentral. Lineage: Bacteria; Pseudomonadati; Pseudomonadota; Gammaproteobacteria; Alteromonadales; Shewanellaceae.